Non-coding RNA from Oryza brachyantha (malo sina), 192 nucleotides. The record is from Rfam. Lineage: Eukaryota; Viridiplantae; Streptophyta; Magnoliopsida; Poales; Poaceae.
AAUAAUCUCAUUUUUCAUUUUUCUGUGGCUAACGUUUGACCAUUCGCCUUAUUUGAAAAAUUUGUGCAAAAAAUUAAAAAAAUUAGUCACGUAUAAAAUACUAUUCAUAUUUUAUCAUCUAGUAAUAAUAAAAAUAUUAAUCGCAAAAAAAUUCAAAUAAAACGAAUAGUCAAACGUUGGACACAGAAAAAC